This 378-nucleotide ribosomal RNA is filed under the name uncultured bacterium. RNAcentral's name for it is "bacterial SSU rRNA". It matches the Rfam family "Bacterial small subunit ribosomal RNA", at positions 28 to 416 of the family's 1533-position model. The record is from RNAcentral.
GAUGAACGCUGGCGGCGUGCCUAACACAUGCAAGUCGAGCGAUUCUCUUCGGAGAAGAGCGGCGGACGGGUGAGUGACGCGUGGGUAACCUGCCCUGUACACACGGAUAACAUACCGAAAGGUAUGCUAAUACGAGAUAAUAUACUUUAUCGCAUGGUAGAAGUAUCAAAGCUCCGGCGGUACAGGAUGGACCCGCGUCUGAUUAGCUAGUUGGUAAGGUAACGGCUUACCAAGGCGACGAUCAGUAGCCGACCUGAGAGGGUGAUCGGCCACAUUGGAACUGAGACACGGUCCAAACUCCUACGGGAGGCAGCAGUGGGGAAUAUUGCACAAUGGGCGAAAGCCUGAUGCAGCAACGCCGCGUGAGCGAUGAAGGCC